RNAcentral lists this ribosomal RNA (253 nucleotides) under uncultured bacterium. Its description in RNAcentral is "partial 16S ribosomal RNA". It matches the Rfam family "Bacterial small subunit ribosomal RNA", at positions 524 to 776 of the family's 1533-position model. The record is from RNAcentral.
UACGAAGGGGGCUAGCGUUGUUCGGAAUCACUGGGCGUAAAGCGCACGCAGGCGGAUUGAUAAGUCGGGUGUGAAAGCCUCGGGCUCAACCUGGGAAUUGCAUUCGAGACUGCAUAGCUAGGGUGCGGAAGAGGGAAGCGGAAUUUCCGGUGUAGCGGUGAAAUGCGUAGAUAUCGGAAGGAACACCAGUGGCGAAAGCGGCUUCCUGGUCCAGCACCGACGUUCAGGCACGAAAGCGUGGGGAGCAAACAGG